This 253-nucleotide ribosomal RNA is filed under the name uncultured bacterium. Its description in RNAcentral is "partial 16S ribosomal RNA". It matches the Rfam family "Bacterial small subunit ribosomal RNA", at positions 524 to 776 of the family's 1533-position model. The record is from RNAcentral.
GACGAACCGAGCGAACGUUAUUCGGAAUCACUGGGCUUAAAGGGUGCGUAGGCGGGCUGUCAAGUCUGGGGUGAAAUCCCGCGGCUCAACCGUGGAACUGCCUCAGAUACUGAUGGCCUCGAGGGAGGUAGGGGCAUGCGGAACUGUAGGUGGAGCGGUGAAAUGCGUUGAUAUCUACAGGAACUCCGGUGGCGAAAGCGGCGUGCUGGACCUCUUCUGACGCUGAGGCACGAAAGCUAGGGGAGCAAACGGG